UGGGGAUGUAGCUCAGCGGGAGAGCACCUGCUUUGCAAGCAGGGGGUCAGCGGUUCGAAUCCGCUCAUCUCCACCAU
RNAcentral lists this transfer RNA (77 nucleotides) under Coprothermobacter proteolyticus DSM 5265. RNAcentral describes it as "tRNA-Ala". It matches the Rfam family "tRNA". Rfam says of the family: Transfer RNA (tRNA) molecules are approximately 80 nucleotides in length. Their secondary structure includes four short double-helical elements and three loops (D, anti-codon, and T loops). Lineage: Bacteria; Pseudomonadati; Coprothermobacterota; Coprothermobacteria; Coprothermobacterales; Coprothermobacteraceae. The record is from RNAcentral.